This is a regulatory RNA element of Croceicoccus naphthovorans, 48 nucleotides long. It matches the Rfam family "chrB-b RNA". The record is from Rfam. NCBI's taxonomy places the organism in Bacteria, Pseudomonadati, Pseudomonadota, Alphaproteobacteria, Sphingomonadales, Erythrobacteraceae.
CCGGGACCAAGCAACCUCCCGGUCAGGCGGCAAUUGCCCAAGUGUUGC